This 644-nucleotide ribosomal RNA is filed under the name uncultured bacterium. Its description in RNAcentral is "bacterial SSU rRNA". It matches the Rfam family "Bacterial small subunit ribosomal RNA", at positions 60 to 684 of the family's 1533-position model. The record is from RNAcentral.
AGUCGAGCGAACAGAUGAGGAGCUUGCUCCUCUGACGUUAGCGGCGGACGGGUGAGUAACACGUGGGCAACCUGCCCUAUAGUUUGGGAUAACUCGCGGAAACGUGAGCUAAUACCGAAUAAUACAUUUCAUCUCCUGAUGGGAUGUUGAAAGAUGGUUUUUCGCUAUCGCUAUAGGAUGGGCCCGCGGCGCAUUAGCUAGUAGGUGAGGUAACGGCUCACCUAGGCAACGAUGCGUAGCCGACCUGAGAGGGUGAUCGGCCACACUGGGACUGAGACACGGCCCAGACUCCUACGGGAGGCAGCAGUAGGGAAUCUUCCACAAUGGACGAAAGUCUGAUGGAGCAACGCCGCGUGAGUGAAGAAGGUUUUCGGAUCGUAAAACUCUGUUGUAAGGGAAGAACAAGUACAGUAGUAACUGGCUGUACCUUGACGGUACCUUAUUAGAAAGCCACGGCUAACUACGUGCCAGCAGCCGCGGUAAUACGUAGGUGGCAAGCGUUGUCCGGAAUUAUUGGGCGUAAAGCGCGCGCAGGCGGUCCUUUAAGUCUGAUGUGAAAUCACGUGGCUCAACCACGUGCGGUCAUUGGAAACUGGAGGACUUGAGUGCAGAAGAGGAAAGUGGAAUUCCAAGUGUAGCGGUGA